CCGGAGCCGGAUAUAUGUUCAACGUUCCGGGCUCAUACAGCCUCUUAUUUCGCAGCAUGGUGAGGGAGGUGGACUCUUGCUGUUUUUUUUCCCCCAGUUUGUUAUCUAAACGUUUAUGCUAUGACAGUCAAGAGAAGCCGAAAGUCACCAGUCUUCUGUCGCCGAGUGGCUACGUUUGUCUCGAAGGAGACCAACGGUCCAGACAGACAAUUGAAGCUGAAACCGAUGACAGUGGCAGACUGAAGGAUGGAGGCUGCUGUACUUUCACAGACCUCAAGACUUGGGAGCUCAAUCCCUCAAGGGACGUGACCAUGCUGAGGUUCAAGUUGUGCUGGACCUAAUCAGAUAAGCGAGCCUGUGAGUUUAGUCUGUACAUUGGUUAUGAAAACAGGACACAGUUUCAGCCAGUGAUGACAAACUAAACUAAACUUUUCUGACACCUACUAUGAGAGCUGAACUCCAGCUCCUGAUUCUAAUUUUAUUCUGAGGCUACAUUAUCUAUAGAACUAUCACAGCCUUCACCUCAGAAUUGUUACCUUUUCCUAACUUUGUUUUAAAACUUUAAACCACUUUACAGGGAGAAAAAGAUGAGGCUUCAAAGCUGGACAAAGAUCCGAGGCCUUUACAUUUCAGAUGGAUGUGAGAGGAGUUGGGAGGGGAGACUGAAGACUUGGGAGCUCCAACCCCUAAGUUUCUAAUGGUGAUCACUGAUUUGAUCAAAGGGAAAUACUGCUGAUUCUGGCGGAUCAUAACUCAACACAGAGGAAGUUAAUUCUCUCUCAGGACAGACGCCUGGUGAUCCGCUUUAUUUUAAUGAUUUCUCCAACACUUGAUGUUGUCCACCACCAGAGGACUGCUGCCUUCAAGCUGCACAACAAUCCUGAAUGAACAAACCACAAUUUUAAUGUUUAAUGAAGAACAAAAUGACAGAGCCUACGAUAAUGGUGUUUGGAUAGUACUGAAACUACUGCAUCAAACUGUCAAAUACAUUUGUUGAAUAAACAGUGAUUCAGUUAACAGUUUACUAAA
This is a long non-coding RNA of Lates calcarifer (barramundi perch), 1029 nucleotides long. RefSeq lists it as uncharacterized. The transcript is spliced from 5 exons. The record is from RefSeq and is a predicted model, not a curated record. Lineage: Eukaryota; Metazoa; Chordata; Actinopteri; Centropomidae.